GAUGAACGCUAGCUACAGGCUUAACACAUGCAAGUCGAGGGGCAGCAUGAACUUAGCUUGCUAAGUUUGAUGGCGACCGGCGCACGGGUGAGUAACACGUAUGCAACCUGGCCGUCACAGGUGGAUAACCGGAAGAAAUUCCGACUAAUACAGCAUAACACUCCUGAGGGACAUCCUUCGGGAGUCAAAGGAGGCGACUCCGGUGACGGAUGGGCAUGCGGCGCAUUAGGUAGUUGGUAGGGUAACGGCCUACCAAGCCGACGAUGCGUAGGGGUUCUGAGAGGAAGGUCCCCCACAUUGGAACUGAGACACGGUCCAA
Molecule: ribosomal RNA, 319 nt
Filed under: uncultured bacterium
Lineage: Bacteria
Description: bacterial SSU rRNA
Rfam family: Bacterial small subunit ribosomal RNA
Source: RNAcentral